GACGAGCGCUGGCGGCGUGCUUAACACAUGCAAGUCGAACGGAAAGGCCCUGCUUUUGUGGGGUGCUCGAGUGGCGAACGGGUGAGUAACACGUGAGUAACCUGCCCUUGACUUUGGGAUAACUUCAGGAAACUGGGGCUAAUACCGGAUAGGAGCUCCUGCUGCAUGGUGGGGGUUGGAAAGUUUCGGCGGUUGGGGAUGGACUCGCGGCUUAUCAGCUUGUUGGUGGGGUAGUGGCUUACCAAGGCUUUGACGGGUAGCCGGCCUGAGAGGGUGACCGGCCACAUUGGGACUGAGAUACGGCCCAGACUCCUACGGGAGGCAGCAGUGGGGAAUAUUGCACAAUGGGCGGAAGCCUGAUGCAGCAACGCCGCGUGCGGGAUGACGGCCUUCGGGUUGUAAACCGCUGUCGCCUGUGACGAAGCGUGAGUGACGGUAAUGGGUAAAGAAGCACCGGCUAACUACGUG
Molecule: ribosomal RNA, 468 nt
Filed under: uncultured bacterium
Lineage: Bacteria
Description: partial 16S ribosomal RNA
Rfam family: Bacterial small subunit ribosomal RNA
Source: RNAcentral